This 72-nucleotide transfer RNA is filed under the name Stegodyphus mimosarum. It matches the Rfam family "tRNA". From Rfam's summary of the family: Transfer RNA (tRNA) molecules are approximately 80 nucleotides in length. Their secondary structure includes four short double-helical elements and three loops (D, anti-codon, and T loops). The record is from Rfam by way of RNAcentral. Lineage: Eukaryota; Metazoa; Arthropoda; Arachnida; Araneae; Eresidae.
GCCUUCGUGGUGUAAUGGUAGCACGCUCGACGCUUAUUCGAGAGGUCUGUGGUUCGAGUCCCGGCGAGGGCA